UAUUUCCAAUCGCUGAAUUUCCGCUAGGAAAACGGGGGACCCGUUGCAUCUGUGUAGGGCUUAUCCUGAAUCGCCGAGCGAUCGGCAGGAAGCCACUAGCAGCGGCUCAAAUCUUUGGGGUGAAUCCAUGGGCUUUGUUACUUGAAGCCCGGGUAGGGCGACUCUCACGCCCGAAUCCGUCAGCUAACCUCGUAAGCGUGCAGAGAGAGGUACC
This 214-nucleotide small RNA is filed under the name Paenibacillus sp. Its description in RNAcentral is "c-di-AMP sequence". It matches the Rfam family "c-di-AMP riboswitch aptamer (ydaO/yuaA leader)". From Rfam's summary of the family: This family represents a conserved RNA structure found upstream of the ydaO and yuaA genes in Bacillus subtilis and related genes in other bacteria. Lineage: Bacteria; Bacillati; Bacillota; Bacilli; Caryophanales; Paenibacillaceae. The record is from RNAcentral.